RNAcentral lists this transfer RNA (76 nucleotides) under Coriobacteriia bacterium. RNAcentral's name for it is "tRNA-Thr". It matches the Rfam family "tRNA". Rfam says of the family: Transfer RNA (tRNA) molecules are approximately 80 nucleotides in length. Lineage: Bacteria; Bacillati; Actinomycetota; Coriobacteriia. The record is from RNAcentral.
GCUCGUGUAGCUCAGACGGUAGAGCGCAUCCUUGGUAAGGAUGAGGUCACCGGUUCAAGUCCGGUCACGAGCUCCA